This 253-nucleotide ribosomal RNA is filed under the name uncultured prokaryote. RNAcentral's name for it is "partial 16S ribosomal RNA". It matches the Rfam family "Bacterial small subunit ribosomal RNA", at positions 525 to 777 of the family's 1533-position model. The record is from RNAcentral.
ACAGAGGGGGCGAGCGUUGUUCGGAAUUACUGGGCGUAAAGGGCGCGUAGGUGGCCUGUUAAGUCGAACGUGAAAUCCCCGGGCUCAACCCGGGAACUGCGUCCGAGACUGGCAGGCUUGAAUCCGGGAGAGGGAUGUGGAAUUCCAGGUGUAGCGGUGAAAUGCGUAGAUAUCUGGAGGAACACCGGUGGCGAAGGCGGCUCACUGGACUGGUACUGACGCUGAGGCGCGAAAGCGUGGGGAGCAAACGGGA